RNAcentral lists this ribosomal RNA (394 nucleotides) under uncultured bacterium. Its description in RNAcentral is "partial 16S ribosomal RNA". It matches the Rfam family "Bacterial small subunit ribosomal RNA", at positions 338 to 729 of the family's 1533-position model. The record is from RNAcentral.
CCUACGGGUGGCAGCAGUGAGGAAUAUUGGUCAAUGGGCGCGAGCCUGAACCAGCCAAGUAGCGUGAAGGAAGACUGCCCUACGUGUUGUAAACUUCUUUUAUCAAGGAAUAAAGUCAGGCACUUGUGCCUUUUUGUGUGUACUUUAUGAAUAAGGAUCGGCUAACUCCGUGCCAGCAGCCGCGGUAAUACGGAGGAUCCGAGCGUUAUCCGGAUUUAUUGGGUUUAAAGGGAGCGGAGAUGGGUUGUUAAGUCAGGUGUGAAAGUUGGCGGCUCAACCGUAAAAUUGCAUUUGAUACUGGCAGCCUUGAGUACAGUUGAGGUAGGCGGAAUGCGUGGUGUAGCGGUGAAAUGCUUAGAUAUCACGAAGAACCCCGAUUGCGAAGGCAGCCUAC